AACGAACGCUGGCGGCAUGCCUAACACAUGCAAGUCGAACGAGACCUUCGGGUCUAGUGGCGCACGGGUGCGUAACGCGUGGGAAUCUGCCCUUUGGUUCGGAAUAACUGUCCGAAAGUGGUGCUAAUACCGGAUAAUGUCUUCGGACCAAAGAUUUAUCGCCUUUGGAUGGGCCCGCGUUGGAUUAGCUAGUUGGUAGGGUAAAGGCCUACCAAGGCGACGAUCCAUAGCUGGUCUGAGAGGAUGAUCAGCCACACUGGGACUGAGACACGGCCCAGACUCCUACGGGAGGCAGCAGUGGGGAAUAUUGGACAAUGGGCGAAAGCCUGAUCCAGCAAUGCCGCGUGAGUGAUGAAGGCCUUAGGGUUGUAAAGCUCUUUUACCCGGGAUGAUAAUGACAGUACCGGGAGAAUAAGCUCCGGCUAACUCCGUG
This 433-nucleotide ribosomal RNA is filed under the name uncultured bacterium. RNAcentral describes it as "partial 16S ribosomal RNA". It matches the Rfam family "Bacterial small subunit ribosomal RNA", at positions 29 to 507 of the family's 1533-position model. The record is from RNAcentral.